CCGGCCGCGCGCAGCCGAGAGCGGUCCCCGGGAAGGCGCCUUGUCUGCUGCGUCUCAGCGAGUUGACUGCAGUUUCCGAAGUUGGAGGGAGCCGUGCGGAGGGGAGGCCAAGAAGGAAGAGAGAACUCUCACUGCAACAUUUCAGAGGGACAACAUCUGCAGAAUUGUCAGCAGUUAUUUGGACAAAGUUUUCUCCAAGACGCUGAGAUUGGGCUUGCGUCGAGGCAAACACCGGCCUGAGCACUUCGCAAACAGUAGACCGUUCACCCAACCUGACUACCCCGGUACUGCUAGUAGUAGUAGUAUUCCCAUUGUCCUGACGAGGAGACGAGCUCAGAGAGGCGGACGCAGCCCUUGGCCCUGAUGUCACCAGCUCUGAAGGACUGACUGACCACCAGCCGUUGCCACCCCUUUGCUCCCACCAUGGGACCCUCCGGGAGCCUGCUGGGCAGUGGACACAUGCAGAUCGUCCUGUGGGGAAGUCUGGCAGCUGCUGCCACUUUCUUCCUCAUCACCUUCCUCAUCUUUCUGUGCUCCAGCUGUGACAGAGAAAAGAAGCCAAGACAGUGCAGCGGAGACCACGAGAACCUGAUGAACGUGCCUUCGGACAAGGAGAUGUUCAGCCGGUCAGUGACCAGCCUGGCCACGGACGCCCCCGCCAGCAGCGACCAGAACGGUGCGCUCACCAACGGAGACAUUGUCUCAGAAGACAGCGCCACGGCCUGCCUGCAGCACUACGAGGAGGUCCUGACCUCAGCCUCCGACCUGCUGGACUCCCAGGACAGCACGGGGAAGCCAAAGUGUCACCAGAGCCGGGAACUGCCCCGAAUCCCCCCCGACAGCACGGUGGACACGCUGGCCAGUGCCAGAAGCGUGGACGGGGACCAGGGCGUGGGGGCGGAAGGGCCCUAUGAAGUGCUCAAAGACAGCUCGUCCCAGGAGAACAUGGUGGAGGACUGCCUGUACGAGACCGUGAAGGAGCUCAAGGAGGUGGCCACGGCCGCGGCCCCCGGCAAAGGCCCCAGCAGCCGGGCCAAGGCGGCGUCCGCUCUGAAGGAGCUCCCGGCGCCCCAGGCCGAGGGCAAAACCGACUUCGCCGAAUACGCCUCCGUGGACAGGAACAAAAAGUGCCGGCAAAGCGUGAAUGCAGACAGUGUCCUGGGACCUACCCGGGACCCGGAAGAGGAGGCCCCACCGCCCGUGCCCAUUAAGCUUCUGGAUGAGAACGAGAACCUGCAGCAGAAGGAAGACAGGAAGGCAGGAGAGGAAGGCGCCCCGGAGGGGACCAGUGAGACCAACAAGAGAUUUAGUUCCCUGUCGUACAAGUCCCGAGAGGAAGACCCGACUCUCACGGAUGAAGAGAUCUCAGCCAUGUACUCGUCUGUAAAUAAACCUGGUCAGUCCGUGAAUAAAUCAGGACAGUUGCUCAAAGCGCCCGAGUCCAGCGGCACCUCCAGCCCAGGGGCUGCUCGGAGGUCCCCAUCCUCCUGUAAUGACCUCUAUGCAACUGUUAAAGACUUCGAGAAGACUCCCAGCAGCAGCAGCAUGCUCACACCAGCAGGGAGACCCCGGGAGGAGCCCGAACCCGACUACGAGGCCAUCCAGUCUCUGAGCAGAGAGGAUGAAAAGACCACCCUGGGGACCAAUGGCCACCAUGGCCCCUUCCCAAAGGAGAAUGACUAUGAGAGCAUUGGGGACUUGCAACAAUGCAGAGAUGUCACCAGGCUCUAGCAGCCCACAAGACAGAGCCCGACAGCCUAGGACCAGCCACUCGGGGACAAGAAGACAAGGAAUGCUGUCCCCUCCACGCCACAUUCUGCUUCAGUGGCUGGGGGCAGCGAAUACGCCGGGAUGGUUCCUCAGCUCUGGGAACUGAAAGGGGCAAACCUGGCUGAGCCCUGUGUACCCUGCCUGCCAGGCACUACCACACCCAAGCACAUGUCCCCGUGUCCCCGUGUCCUCAGGACGGGUCCCAGCUGUCAGAGGAGGAGCCUCGCCUCCACCUGCCUAAAUACUGCCCUUCGGAAGAGCCACUGUCCCUCCUCCGUUCCCUGUGGCUGGCUGUCUGCUCCUGUCCCUUGACAUCUCCCAUUUCUACUGGUUCCUGCCAAGGAAAUUCGCCCACAGGGCUUGGCCUUUGUCUUCAACAUUGAUGUUUUCAGAUGGCGAGAAACCGCGGUUGCUGAUACUGUUAGAUCGCCCAUCGUCUCCUGGGGGCACCCCCCGAGGGUCUUGGGUCUUUGUGCCUUCUGAUCCGGGCAUGCCACAUCAGCAGCUUCUCCCAAAGGACGUGAAAUCAUUUUUAGAUGCUUUAUUUUAUUUUUCUAGCCAAAACGUUUUUGCCCCCCGUAUUGGAAACUUCAGAACCUUUGCAGUAUUUGCGGUGAACGCUGUGGUUCUUCUAUACUUGUUUGAGCCCAGAGCCCAUUCCCCCAGAACUCGUCUGGGCUGCCCAUACCGGCUGCCACCAAAGGGCUGUGGACCUGAACGUGUGUUUCUGAUGAUCUGUGCGCCGCACCAGCAGUGUGGGCCCCGAAGUCAACUGCUGCCCUAAGACAGGUGUUGGCGAAGAGAUCUGGCCAAGAGCUACCGAGCCGCGUGAGCCGGGACGGGGCCACAGCAAGGUAACCCCACCCGGUAGCAGCCGAGCCGGUUCUCCCGCGGGGCUGUUUGCUGGCACUGUCUUCAGAAACCACAGGAUCUGCAGGCAGUGGUGGGCUCUGGUGUGUGAAGUAACUGCUGUGUGCUGAUGACCGGCUGUAAUCACGGAGCUCAGUGUAAGACUGCGCUGGGACUUGGUAAAUGAGUCAUUGCCAGUUUUUGGUGCUCCUUGUCAUAGCAUGACUCCAUGGGAUCCGGGGGUGCCAGUCCUCUGGAAGUGUUGAUGCUUGGUGCCCGGCCAGCUUCACUCGGGCCGCUGGAAGCCCAGCAGGUACUGAUGGUAAUUUCCUGGAAAUCUUGACAUGCUCGUUGUGCUGUAUAAUUGGGCAAAGUUAAAGUAUAAUGUUUGCUGUUAAUAAGUGACUGAUGUGAAAAUAGGAACGUGUGUCUGUAAUAUCAAAUGCGGCUUUAUUUGCAAUGGAAUCAAAAUUCCUGGUCCUGUGGCAGUAUUUUCUUGCUCUGUAUUGUACCUUUUCUUCGAUACAUUGUUUUUUACUGUGGCGUUAAACAAUUUGUACACACUUUGAAAGUGUUUGAUUUAGAGAUCAGUCCAGAAACCAUGAUAAAUUGGAGUCUUCAUAUGGACUUACCAAAGUAAAUUAAACAAAAUCAUGGUCCAGAAGAGAACAAACAUUCCUAAGUGCUUUUCCCCCUACUGCUCAUUUUAAGUCUGUGUUUACAUCCAGUGUCUAAUAUUUAUGAAGUAUUUCAUUGUUUUUCAAGGUUCUUCUUUUAUUUAACUGAGAAGUGGUAGUUCAGAUUCUUCUUCAUGCCAGAUAAAAUGAGAAAUGUGAUUUUUGUUAAAAAGGCAAUGUUUUUAAAGCAUUCAGUUUGGUACUUAUUUAUCUUAAUGUGGUUAGAUUACAUUUUUUUUCACCACUUAUAUACUCUGGGUAUUUUUUAAAGAAUAUAGGACUCUGAGCGUCUCAGAUCACCUUGUGUAAUGGAUUAUAAAGGCUGGUUUGUUAUUCCUCAGACUUCUAUAUGUUAAAGUGACAACAGUAAAUGUUUUAAUGUUACCUUUUAAAUAAUUGUGUUGUAAUGACAUGCCUCAUAUGUUCAGGGGAAGAUUGAAAUAUAGCUAAACAAAUAGGAAUUUUGCAUUUAUUGUUUAUGCAUUUUUUUCCUCAUAAAAAUAGUUUCCCAAAAAGUGACUUAUUGUCCACUAGGUGGUCCUGAUCUGUUUCAAGGUACUCCUUUUACUCAAAUAAAAUUUGUGACACUGAGUGGCAUUUUGACUCAGUGUUUCAAAAGGUCUCUGUCAUGGUCAAAUUGUCCAAUUCACAAAUGAGUGGGAAAGUUGUUUUCAGUGUUGGGAAUUUUCGAACCUUAGUUUUACUCCAAAAAUGUCUCGUAUUGGCUUCCACAACUUACAGUUUUUCCCUCCCUGACUCUGGUGUAAAGAUUGUGGGCAGGAAGGCACUAUUCCCACCGGCCUCCCCUGGAUUCCUGCAUAGGUGGUCUUCUGUCCCUUUGCACAGCAUGACCCCUGGGCCCCUUCCCCACCCUAGCCCCUCCAAGUCUGCUGUUCCCAGGAUGUCCUAUCUUGUCUGUCUUCUCCAAUACCAAUCACGGCCUCUGCCUCCUGGCAUAGAGCUGUCCCCACUGCCAGGUGAGCAGACAGCUCCGCCCAGCUCAUUUUCCUGCCCUGCAGGCUGCCCAGGUAAAGCCACAGACCUGCCCGGGAACACAGAUGCUGGGUGAUCUUGGUCUUGAGCUUUUCUCAACCAGGUACAUACUUGCCCGCAUUUGUCAUGAGAAUGAUUGGUGCUAAGGGGCCAUAAAAAGAAGUUUUAUGAAGUUCCGUUGUACACUCAUACUCACAAAUGCAGGGACAUGCUCACCACGACCAUGCUUUAACCAGGCGAGCUCCCCAUCCCCCAUGAUGCACCGAGCCAGCCCUGUGGCUCCCAAGGUUCUGGUGACAGCAGACCAAUAAGUUCCCAUUAAGUAGGACACUGGUUAUUUUAAGGGGGAAAAACCCCUUUCUUGUAAAAAGUAAUCUUUUAUAAAACAAAUCGAGUGUACCAUGUUUUAGCCAGAGAGCUAUAGCCCCCUUUCCCCUGGGAAAUUCUUCCUGUGAGUUGUGUUCGUCACACUCAGUUUGAGCUGCUCUCCCGGGCCCCAAGGCGCCGAGAAUGUUCCAGCAUCUGGCUGGAGUUACCUGGCCUUUGCUAGGCAAACUGGUGUUUGGAGUGAGAAACCAGGCCCCCGUUAGGCCUGGCCCAGGUGAGCAGUGGCAGGGCCUGAGGGUCUGGACACCUAAGAUCCACCACCAUUAUUUUUUAUAGUUUUGUCUAGUUUUGAUUUUUUGAAGUUCACUCUAAGUGAACUUAACACCAUAGUUAAUUAUUUCAAUGGGUGUUCUGGAGUAUAAUUUUUUUUUUCUUCCUUGAAUUAACAGAACAGAUAGCUGCUCAUUGUCUUUAUCCAUUUAAUUUUAUCCAAUAUGCCAGAUCAUCACCCUUAAUAGGACAAUUAAGGCAAAAAGAGGGACCAGCCUGGGCCCCUAGGAUCUGCACUCCAAAACUGUCUGGUCAUAAUGUCUGCUUUUGUCUGUUUUGUUUUUAACUCAACAAGUUGGAAACCAUGAGUUUUAAACAAACUCUUUACUUUUUCUUUCUUAAGCGUAAAGAGGAUUUUUUUUUUUUUUUAACUUUAGGUCCCCAUUGAGGUAGGAGAGGUGUCCCUGGUAGACAGCAGUGACCUUCCCGAGCCCAGGAGACUGACACCGAAGGCCUGAGCCUGUCUGUAAGGGACUUUGAACAUUCCUUUGACAAGUCUUUAUGUAUUUUUGUUGUUGUCGUUAAUCCUCCCCCCAGGAUAUCUUUCCAUUGACAUUUUAGAGAGUGGAAAGGAGGGAGGGAGAGAGAG
Molecule: RNA transcript, 5535 nt
Organism: Molossus molossus (Pallas's mastiff bat)
Lineage: Eukaryota; Metazoa; Chordata; Mammalia; Chiroptera; Molossidae
Gene: PAG1
Gene name: phosphoprotein membrane anchor with glycosphingolipid microdomains 1
Exons: 10
Source: RefSeq, a predicted model, not a curated record